GACUGUUAGACAAGAAAAGCAUUCACUGGCUAGUGAUCCAUAGGUCGACCUGUGUCCUAAGUUAGGUAUAAGGUCCGAUGCCUUGGCCUACACUCGAGCUCUCUUUACACUGUUAGUUGUCAACCUUGUAAAGUUGAUGGAAGUCCUGUCACCACUACUUGUUGCACUGUGCCUUGAAGGGCAGCAGGCCCAACCGCUGCUCUGACUGAAAACUGAGUUAACAAGAUGAAAUCUAAAGGAUAUUCAUAGUGACUUCAAUUCAGGAAGAAUGCUUCCAAAAGAGCCCAGUGGGGAAAUCUGACAUCACAGAAGACAUUAAUUCAGUCACUUUCGGAGAGUUUGUCUACAGGAUGUUUCUCUGUUAUCAAAGGCAUUUGAAACAGGAUUUUACUUAAACAAUAAUGGAACACAGGAGUAUUUAAAGUGAAGAACACUUUGCCUGAAUGUGAUCAGGGCAUUGUCCGAAUUGAGGCCAUUUGGGAAGAAAAUUCUAGCACUGGAAGAGAAUUAUAGAAUAAAGAUUAUGAAUGGUUGGAUAAGACAAAUAAGUCACUUAGCCAAGCUCUGCAUUUUGAGCCUGCUGACUUUCAUUUAAAGAAGAAUGAAAGGCUGAAAAUCCAGGCUGCUGUGUCUGUAGAUAAAGGUCAAACCAUGUUUGAGUUCUUCACUGUUGUGUCCACCUAAAUAAAACUGAGUAAGUAAUGAAAAAUGUCUUAAUAUUUCUUGCCUUCCCUUUCGAGAGAGUCAUUUCAUGGAAGAUGUAAUGGGAGAUGCAUUCCAAAAUGUCUUGAGGCUCAUUCCUCUCUGCUGGAAA
RNAcentral lists this long non-coding RNA (814 nucleotides) under Piliocolobus tephrosceles (Ugandan red Colobus). RNAcentral describes it as "lncRNA (ENSPTEG00000034453.1)". The record is from RNAcentral. Lineage: Eukaryota; Metazoa; Chordata; Mammalia; Primates; Cercopithecidae.